RNAcentral lists this ribosomal RNA (447 nucleotides) under uncultured bacterium. RNAcentral's name for it is "bacterial SSU rRNA". It matches the Rfam family "Bacterial small subunit ribosomal RNA", at positions 355 to 822 of the family's 1533-position model. The record is from RNAcentral.
UCAAGAAACUUCCACAAUGGGCGAAAGCCUGAUGGAGCGACGUCGCGUGAUGGACGAAGUGCUUCGGCACGUAAACAUCUUUUAUGUGGGAUGAAAUUAUUGACAGUACCACAUGAAUAAGGGGCUCCUAACUCUGUGCCAGCAGGAGCGGUAAUACAGAGGCCCCAAGCGUUAUCCGGAAUCACUGGGCGUAAAGGGUGUCGAGGCGGUUGUAUUAGUCGUUCGUAAAAUCUACGAGCUUAACUUGUAGGCGGCGAACGAAACGGUACGACUUGAGGUUUGGAGAGGUGCGUGGAACUCACGGUGUAGGGGUGAAAUCCGUUGAUAUCGUGGGGAACACCAAAGGCGAAGGCAGCGCACUGGCCAAAAUCUGACGCUCACACACGAAAGCUAGGGUAGCGAAGAGGAUUAGAUACCCAUGUAGUCCCUGAGCGGGCUGGCAAGGCG